Molecule: ribosomal RNA, 812 nt
Filed under: Polistes rothneyi
Lineage: Eukaryota; Metazoa; Arthropoda; Insecta; Hymenoptera; Vespidae
Description: partial 16S rRNA
Source: RNAcentral
AAUUAUUAUUAUUAAUUUUUAAUUAGAAAUGAAAUGUUAAUCGAUUUUAAAUAUAUCUAGUUUUUUUAGAAUUGAAUUUAAUUCAGCUUUAAAAUUAAAUUUAUUAAUUUUUUUUAAUUUAUUAAAUUAUUUUAAAGUAAUUAUAUUCGGGAUAAAUUGAAUAUAAAAAUUAUAAAUUAAUUUAAUUAUUAUUAAUUUUAUAAGUGGUAAUAAAAUUAUAUUUCUUUAUAAAAAAUGUUAAAAUUUAUAUUAAAAUAUUUUUUAUUAAAAUUUAUUUUUAAUUUUAAUUAUUUAUAAAAAAAUUAAUAAUUAAUAAAAUUUUAUAAGUUAUAAUGAUUAUAUUAGUAAUGGAUUUUUGUUUAAUUAAUUUAUAAUUAUAAAAUUAUUAUAUUAAUUUAAGGAAUUUAGCAAAUAAUUAUUUAUAAAAUAAUUUAUUAUAAUAUAUAAAUAUAAUAUAUAUAUAUAUUUACCUGUUUAUCAAAAACAUGUCUUAUUGAUUAAAAUAAUAAGUCAAUUCUGCCCAUUGAAAUAAUUAAAAGGCUGCAGUAUAUUAACUGUACAAAGGUAGCAAAAUCAAUAGUUUUUUAAUUGGAAACUUGAAUGAAAGAAUUCAUAAAAUAUAAACUGUCUCAAAUUAAUUAAAAUUGAAUUUAAAUUUAAAGUUAAAAUGCUUUAAUAAAUUUAUUAGACGAUAAGACCCUAAGAAUUUAAUAAUAUUAUUUAUUAAUUUAAUUAUGUAAUUUUAAUUUAUUAUAAAAAAUAUUAGUUUAUUGGGAGGGUAAUUAAAAAUUUUGAACUUUAAUUUUUAUAGA